Molecule: transfer RNA, 64 nt
Filed under: Pseudomonas aeruginosa
Lineage: Bacteria; Pseudomonadati; Pseudomonadota; Gammaproteobacteria; Pseudomonadales; Pseudomonadaceae
Also listed under: 34 other names
Description: tRNA-Gly
Rfam family: tRNA
About the family: Transfer RNA (tRNA) molecules are approximately 80 nucleotides in length. Their secondary structure includes four short double-helical elements and three loops (D, anti-codon, and T loops).
Source: RNAcentral
GAAUAGCUCAGUUGGUAGAGCACGACCUUGCCAAGGUCGGGGUCGCGAGUUCGAGUCUCGUUUC